RNAcentral lists this ribosomal RNA (468 nucleotides) under uncultured bacterium. Its description in RNAcentral is "bacterial SSU rRNA". It matches the Rfam family "Bacterial small subunit ribosomal RNA", at positions 29 to 507 of the family's 1533-position model. The record is from RNAcentral.
AGUGAACGCUGGCGGCGUGCUUAACACAUGCAAGUCGAACGAGAACGGAUUAUAGCUUGCUAUAAUUGUCAGCUAAGUGGCGCACGGGUGAGUAAUGUAUAGGUAAUAUGCCUCUUACUAAGGGAUAACAAAUGGAAACGUUUGCUAAUACCUUAUACUCCUUAUUAACAGAAGUUAAUAAGGGAAAGAUUUAUUGGUAAGAGAUUAGCCUGUAUUGUAUCAGUUAGUUGGUGGGGUAAUGGCUUACCAAGACUAUGACACAUAACUGGUUUGAGAGGAUGAUCAGUCACACUGGAACUGAGACACGGUCCAGACUCCUACGGGAGGCAGCAGUGGGGAAUAUUGCACAAUGGACGAAAGUCUGAUGCAGCAACGCCGCGUGGAGGAUGACACAUUUCGGUGGCGUAAACUCCUUUUAUAUGAGAAGAUAAUGACGGUAUUAUAUGAAUAGCUCCGGCUAACUCCGUG